GGAUAACCUGCCCUUGGGUCCGGCAUAACCCCGGGAAACUGGGGAUAAUUCCGGAUAACGCACAUAUGCUGGAAUGCUUUAUGCGUCAAAUGGAUUCGUCUGCCCAAGGAUGGGUCUGCGGCCUAUCAGGUAGUAGUGGGUGUAAUGUACCUACUAGCCGACGACGGGUACGGGUUGUGAGAGCAAGAGCCCGGAGAUGGAUUCUGAGACAUGAAUCCAGGCCCUACGGGGCGCAGCAGGCGCGAAAACUUUACAAUGCGGGAAACCGUGAUAAGGGGACACCGAGUGCCAGCGUCAUACGCUGGCUGUCCAGGUGUGUAAAAUACACCUGUUAGCAAGGGCCGGGCAAGACCGGUGCCAGCCGCCGCGGUAACACCGGCGGCCCGAGUGGUGAUCGUGAUUAUUGGGUCUAAAGGGUCCGUAGCCGGUUUGGUCAGUCCUCCGGGAAAUCUGAUAGCUCAACUGUUAGGCUUUCGGGGGAUACUGCCAGACUUGGAACCGGGAGAGGUAAGAGGUACUACAGGGGUAGGAGUGAAAUCUUGUAAUCCCUGUGGGACCACCUGUGGCGAAGGCGUCUUACCAGAACGGGUUCGACGGUGAGGGACGAAAGCUGGGGGCACGAACCGGAUUANAUACCCGGGUAGUCCCAGCCGUAAACGAUGCUCGCUAGGUGUCAGGCAUGGCGCGACCGUGUCUGGUGGCCGCAGGGNAANCCNUGAAACGAGCCACCUNGGGAAGUACNGCCGCAAGGCUGAAACUUAA
This 762-nucleotide ribosomal RNA is filed under the name uncultured archaeon. RNAcentral describes it as "bacterial SSU rRNA". It matches the Rfam family "Archaeal small subunit ribosomal RNA", at positions 102 to 859 of the family's 1478-position model. The record is from RNAcentral.